RNAcentral lists this long non-coding RNA (2432 nucleotides) under Oryza brachyantha (malo sina). RNAcentral describes it as "long non-coding RNA (OBRA_LNC002559)". Lineage: Eukaryota; Viridiplantae; Streptophyta; Magnoliopsida; Poales; Poaceae. The record is from RNAcentral.
UCCUGUACCUUGGUGUACGUUUCUGUCACACCAUAAAAUUUACACCAAUUUCCUAACAAUAUCAUGCAUUAUUCUCGGUACAUGAAUCAACCUCAGCACACACUAUAACAAAUCGAAUACAUAGUUCCAUGACUUAAAACAUAUAAAAACAAUUGUAUCAAAAUGCAGCGGAAAAAGAAACAAACUCAAACUAUCUAAUCUUGAGCUGACGAGGAUGGCUCCACACCACAGACAUUCUCAACGGCGAAUGAACUUCACCCUUGCGAACAAACUUCUUCUGACUCAUUCACUGGCAGUUGCUCUAGUGGAGGAAAAAAAUAAGCAGGGCUGAGUACAAACCACGGUACUCAACAAGUAGCACCUAAUAGAGGAAAAAGAAAUGAAUGCAGUAACAAGGAGAGGGUAUGGUUAGUUUGCAUAAAGCGGCAAUAUUUGGCAAAACGGUAAAUUAAAUAGAAUGAAAUAAAACGAAGUAAAUACUUAAAAUAACCAUCCACUAUCCAAUGUUACACCAAGUUGUAACAAGCCCAAACCGCUGUCCAACGUUACACCACGUUGUGAUAGGUUCAAAGCCGUUUUAGAUUCAUCAAGUUAUUAAAUGUGCGACUAAUCCCAGCGAGUCUAUUAGUUCACCCCAUAACCAUGAACACGACUAUUCCAAUAGUUUUACUCUGAUCAGAUGUAUACAAAUUUACCAAUAACACUUAGUCUCACACACGUUACCGUGCACUGACGUAUCAGAACGAUACCGUAGAAUGGAAACCAUGAUAAGGCCUUUCACCUAACCCUCCUUAAUCAAUCGCACCACACUGCAGGUUUCGCCCCUUCAUUUACACCAAGUCGGGCAACCCUCUCUUAUGCCAAGGUGAAUCUGAAAGCAGCAUAGACCGUCGUAGGGCCAUCCAUACUCCAUCACGCCCACCCUUUCCUGGGUAUGUCGAAUAGGGACAAGCUAAGCUAUGAGUCCCACCGUUGCCCACUCUUGCUUGUGGUUAGUGCGUGUAAGACUUCCAGAAUUUCCGGAGAACCGGUCGUUAAUUUCCAUGGAUGCGACUCUCAAAACCACGUACCCACAGCCCAUCAUUAAGCAAUAUUUUACUUGGAAUUAACCCUCAUUGGGUAAUUAAUCAUAAUCACAAUUAUCAAAGUGUAGCAUUAGUUAAAUAAUAACCCAUAAAUUGUAAUCAAAUUAAAAGUAAAGUAAUUGUAAUCAAAUUAAGGCUGGUAUAACAAUAUUAAUAAAUGGUAAUCAACGGAUGAAUAAUAGGUAAUAGCCUAGUGAAAAAGUAAAGUAAAUUUAAAUAAAACAAUUCAUGUUUGAAUGUAAAGUGGGGAAUUUACAAAUAUUGGAUCAAUAUGUUCAAGAUUGGGGUGCCACUUGCCUUGCUCUAAACCACCAAGAACUUCGGCGAUGAUUUCAAAAAAACCGGCGCUUCAACUGGGUCAAAACCUACGAUAAAUAAGACAAACAUGUGAAAAUAGACAAUAAAACUAAUAAAAGGAAACUAUUUUUAAUGGAUUUUUGGCAUUUUUCUGAAUUUAAUGAAAUUAGAAUGCACUAAAAUGGAGAUGCCUAAAUCAAUUAAUUGUGCAAUUAGAGGAGGUCGCUGACGUCAGUGGAGGAAAAAGGGGGCAGUGACAGGUGAGUCCCCAUUGUCGGUGACACAAUCGAGAGGAGGAGAGGCCAACAGAUGGCCCCAUUGGUCAGUGGGGGCGGCUCGCUGACCAGCCGGCCCCACUGGCUGGUGGCUAGCUCAAAACAAGGGAGGGGCAGCGGUGCCCCGGGUCGGCUCCAACUGAACGGCGCGACGGCACGAGUGGGGACCGGCGAUGGCAGUGGGACCGGCUGUGGUGGUGGCACAGGGCGACCACGCGCGACGGCGAUGGCGGAGCGGUGACGGCUACGGGCGGUUAAAGACGCGGUUGCGGGCGGCGGCGGCGACCAGCAUCUAGGCGAGCGGUGGCGCUAGCGAGUCUGUGGUGACGGUGCUAACGGCUAUGCAACUACGGAUGCGACGGCAGCGAAUGACGCUAGGCGACUAGUGUCGGCACACGCGGUAGGCGGAUGGCCCUAGGUGGCGGCGUUUAGCGACUUUUGACCGCGGCACGACAGCUUCGGUGCGGCAACGCGGGGCUAAGACGUGGUGCGGCGGACAACGGCGACUCUAGGCGGCUUAGCGUGGCAGCAGCGCAAGGAUUGCCCGGGGAAUGGUGACACGAGGCGGUGGCGACGAUGCUAUAGCGGCGAUGACAACGACACAAAGAUGAGGAGGACGACUGAUGGCUGCAGUGACAGAAGGAUGACGAGGAUGAUGCAACGGCGAUGGCUGAUGUGACGCGGGUUACAGUUGAAGGCAGAGAGAGGGAAGGAAGGGGAGACUCACCGGCGGCGACAGCGAUCGCGAGGACGGGCGAAGGAGAGUGAGCCGGUG